UUGCCACUCUCAGGUGCUGUGCAAUGGUGGGGUGAGUGGCAGCUACACGUCCUUGCUCUUGGCAGCCUUGGUAUCCAGUACGUCCUCGCUAUUUUUGCAGUCUUCCGCAAGUCCGGGGCCACACCGUGGUUCAGAUUUGUCACCUGGCUCGCAUUCCGAGGAAGCGAUGCCGUGGCGAUAUAUGCUCUCGCCACACUCUUCAACCGGCAAAGGUACAAGCAGCUACCCAGCUCUGUCUCUGAGAAUGAAAGUAAUGGGCUGCAGGUGCUUUGGGCACCUAUCUUGCUGAUGCACCUUGGCGGGCAGGUCGCCAUAACAGCCUAUAAUAUCGAAGAUAACGAGCUAUGGAGGCGGCACAUUGUUACCGCACUAUCUCAGAAAAUAAAGAUGAUGAAAAUCAAU
Molecule: ribosomal RNA, 402 nt
Filed under: Triticum aestivum (bread wheat)
Lineage: Eukaryota; Viridiplantae; Streptophyta; Magnoliopsida; Poales; Poaceae
Description: partial small subunit ribosomal RNA
Source: RNAcentral